RNAcentral lists this ribosomal RNA (501 nucleotides) under uncultured Oscillibacter sp. RNAcentral's name for it is "partial 16S ribosomal RNA". Lineage: Bacteria; Bacillati; Bacillota; Clostridia; Eubacteriales; Oscillospiraceae. The record is from RNAcentral.
CACGUAGUUAGCCGUGGCUUAUUCAACAGGUACCGUCUUCUGCUCUUCCCUGUUAAAAGAAGUUUACAACCCGAAAGCCUUCUUCCUUCACGCGGCGUUGCUGGGUCAGGCUUGCGCCCAUUGCCCAAUAUUCCCCACUGCUGCCUCCCGUAGGAGUCUGGGCCGUAUCUCAGUCCCAAUGUGGCCGGCCAACCUCUCAGUCCGGCUACUGAUCGUCGCCUUGGUAGGCCGUUACCCUACCAACUAGCUAAUCAGACGCGAGGCCAUCUCUCAGCGAUAAAUCUUUGGCAUCUGUACCAUGCGAUACCUAUGCAUUAUGCGGUAUUAGCAGUCGUUUCCAACUGUUGUCCCCCUCUGAAAGGCAGGUUCCUCACGCGUUACUCACCCGUCCGCCACUAAACAACCCCUUCCAUUGACCGAAAUCUCUUUCCAAGGCGUUCCGUUCGACUUGCAUGUGUUAAGCACGCCGCCAGCGUUCGUCCUGAGCCAGGAUCAAACUCU